AUUGAACGCUGGCGGCAUGCCUUACACAUGCAAGUCGAACGGCAGCACGGGUGCUUGCACCUGGUGGCGAGUGGCGAACGGGUGAGUAAUACAUCGGAACAUGUCCUGUAGUGGGGGAUAGCCCGGCGAAAGCCGGAUUAAUACCGCAUACGAUCUACGGAUGAAGGCGGGGGACCUUCGGGCCUCGCGCUAUAGGGUUGGCCGAUAGCUGAUUAGCUAGUUGGUGGGGUAAAGGCCUACCAAGGCGACGAUCAGUAGCUGGUCUGAGAGGACGACCAGCCACACUGGGACUGAGACACGGCCCAGACUCCUACGGGAGGCAGCAGUGGGGAAUUUUGGACAAUGGGCGAAAGCCUGAUCCAGCAAUGCCGCGUGUGUGAAGAAGGCCUUCGGGUUGUAAAGCACUUUUGUCCGGAAAGAAAUCCUUGGCUCUAAUACAGUCGGGGGAUGACGGUACCGGAAGAAUAAGCACCGGCUAACUACGUG
Molecule: ribosomal RNA, 486 nt
Filed under: uncultured bacterium
Lineage: Bacteria
Description: partial 16S ribosomal RNA
Rfam family: Bacterial small subunit ribosomal RNA
Source: RNAcentral